This 253-nucleotide ribosomal RNA is filed under the name uncultured bacterium. RNAcentral's name for it is "partial 16S ribosomal RNA". It matches the Rfam family "Bacterial small subunit ribosomal RNA", at positions 524 to 776 of the family's 1533-position model. The record is from RNAcentral.
UACAGAGGUCUCAAGCGUUGUUCGGAUUCAUUGGGCGUAAAGGGUGCGUAGGCGGCGCGGUAAGUCGGGUGUGAAAUCUUGGAGCUUAACUCCGAAACUGCAUUCGAUACUGCCGCGCUUGAGGACUGGAGAGGAGACUGGAAUUUACGGUGUAGCGGUGAAAUGCGUAGAGAUCAUGAGGAAGACCAGUGGCGAAGGCGGGUCUCUGGACAGUUCCUGACACUGAGACACGAAGGCCAGGGGAGCAAACGGG